Lolium rigidum is the source of this 923-nucleotide long non-coding RNA. RefSeq lists it as uncharacterized. The record is from RefSeq and is a predicted model, not a curated record. The transcript is spliced from 2 exons. Lineage: Eukaryota; Viridiplantae; Streptophyta; Magnoliopsida; Poales; Poaceae.
UCAGCGCCAUGGAUAGUAACAAGGGGAGGGAGCUGCAGGUCGAGAGGCGCUCUUUUUGCGUCGCCUUUUUUCUAUUUGAGAGAGAUAUAUGCUACGAGCGAUUGAUGUAUAGUCCAGGAACCUUGAUUCUGCUAUACUGCCUUCAAUUCUGCUACUCCUUGCCAAGGAUUUGUUCUCCAAUUUUGCUAUUGCUUCCAAUUUUGGUACUGUACUGAUUGAUGUACUGGUGCCGCUAUUAAGAAGGAGAGUUGGAUGGCACUCCGCCUCAGCGGAGGCAAGACGGCCAGCAACCUGGGGCGAAGAAAUCAUGGCGGCAACUGCUUCAGUUCAACACCUUGCUGGAGCAACAGCCUGAGAUGGUCCUCACACCCAAGGCAACAAUGUGCAUCCAAGGAGUGCUAGCAAGAAGGAGGCGCGCCAUGCAUGGCGAGGUGAUAAAAUUUUCGGUGUUGGCGAUGCAUGGCAUGGAGCAGUCCCAUGGAGUAUGUCGUUUCUGUUGCCCGGUCCUUGCUUUCCAUCGAUGUGAGCAUAUGAGACACACUGGUGGUGCUGACAUGCUCAACGCCCCCUUACUGAUCAGCAAGAACGAUUUCUAUGUGAUUAUUACACUGGACAAUUUUUUCCAUGUAAUCUUGACGCUGAACCUUGGGUGCAUCGAUUGUGAACUGAAUGACGAUCCAAUGUAUUUGCAACUCAUAAUCAUGAGAACUCAUUUCUAGCCAUCUAGAGGAUAACAUCAUGAGAACUCUUUUCUGGCCAUCUAGAGGAUAACUGGAUAUCUUUUUCUGAAGACCUGGACUCGCUGAAAAAUCUGGCAGUGGACAUGAGCGAGGUUUGUUGCAAAUACUUGGUGUAAUACAUUCCAAGUAAAAUCUAAAGUUGUAUGUGUAACCUUGAUUCUCUAGAGUUAUAAUUGUUUGUGA